UCCCGUUGAUCCUGCGGGAGAUUGCUGCUAUUAGGAUUCGACUAAGCCAUGCAAGUCAGGGCUCUUCGGAGUCCGGCAGAAUGCUCAGUAACACGUCAAUAAUCUGCCCUUGGGUCUAGGAUAACUUCGGGAAACUGAAGCUAAUACUGGAUAGGGAAGAGACAAUGGAACAUUUUCUUUCCAAAAAGUAAUGCCCAAGGAUGAGUUGGCGGCUGAUUAGGUUGUUGGUGGGGUAAAGGCCCACCAAGCCGAAGAUCAGUAGGGGUUUUGAAAGAGAUAGCCUCGAGAAGGGCACUGAGACACUGGCCCUAGCCCUACGGGGUGCAGCAGGCGCGAAACCUUUACAAUGCACGAAAGUGUGAUAAGGGAAUCCUAAGUGCUUUGCUUUUGCAAGGCUUUUUUUAUGGGUAAGAACCAUAAAGAAUAAGUGGUGGGCAAGACUGGUGCCAGCCGCCGCGGUAACACCAGCUCCACGAGUGGGAAUCGUUUAUUUGGCCUAAAGCGUCCGUAGCCGGUUUGAUCAAUCCUUUGUGAAAUCAUUAUGCCUAACAUAAUGGCGUGCAGAGGAGACUGUCAAACUUGGAACCGGGAGGAGUCAGAAGUAUUUCUGGGGGAGCGGUAAAAUGCUAUAAUCCCAGAAAGACUACCUGUGGCGAAGGCGUCUGACUAGAACGGAUUCGACGGUGAGGGACGAAAGCUAGGGGAGCGAUCCGGAUUAGAUACCCGAGUAGUCCUAGCUGUAAACUCUGCGAGCAAGGUGUUGCAUCUUCUUCGGGAAGAUGCAGUGUCGAAGUGAAGGCGAUAAGCUCGCCGCCUGGGAAGUAUGGUCGCAAGACUGAAACUUAAAGGAAUUGGCGGGGGAGCACUACAAGGGGUGCGGCGUGCGGUUUAAUCUAAUUCAACACAGAGAAUCUCACCAGAAGCGACGGCAGGAUGAAAGUCAGUCUGAAGGGCUUACUCAACGAGCCGAGAGGUAGCGCAUGGCCGUCGUCAGCUCGUGCCGUAAGGUGUCCUGUUAAGUCAGGCAACGAGCGAGACCUGCAUUUACAAUUGCUAACAACUAAUUUUUAGGAUUGAGCACAUUGUGAGAACUGCUCUUGAAAAGGAGAGGAAGGUGCAGGCUACGGUAGGUCUGUAUGCUCCGAAUCUUCUGGGCUACACGCGCGCAACAAAGGUAAGGACAAUGGGAUACAACUCCGUAAGGAGAAGUUAAUCCUCAAAACCUUAUCCUAGUCUAGAUUGUGGGUUGUAAUCCACCCACAUGACACUGGAAUCCCUAGUAAUCAGAUUUUAGCAUAGUCUGGUGAAUAUGUCCCUGUUCCUUGCACACACCGCCCGUCAAACCACCCGAGUAGGGUCUAGAUGAGGUCUUAUUUAUAAUAAGCUCGAGUCUAGGCUUUGUGAGGAGGGUUAAGUCGUCACAAGGUA
RNAcentral lists this ribosomal RNA (1428 nucleotides) under metagenome. RNAcentral's name for it is "bacterial SSU rRNA". It matches the Rfam family "Archaeal small subunit ribosomal RNA". The record is from RNAcentral.